GACGAACGCUGGCGGCGUGCCUAACACAUGCAAGUUGAGCGACGAACCAGGGCUUGCCCUGGGGCAAAGCAGCGAACGGGUGAGUAACACGUGGGCAACCUGCCCCGAUGACCGGGACAACCCGAGGAAACUCGAGCUAAUACCGGAUGUGUCCUCUGGACUCAAGUCCAAUGGGCAAAGGAAGCUUCGGCCUCCGCAUUGGGAGGGGCCCGCGGCCCAUUAGCUAGUUGGUGAGGAACGGCUCACCAAGCCUUCGAUCGGUAGCUGGUCUGAGAGGAUGACCAGCCACACUGGGACUGAGACACGGCCCAGACUCCUACGGGAGGCAGCAGUGGGGAAUAUUGGACAAUGGCGCAAGCCUGAUCCAGCCAUGCCGCGUGAGUGAUGAAGGCCU
This 394-nucleotide ribosomal RNA is filed under the name uncultured bacterium. RNAcentral describes it as "bacterial SSU rRNA". It matches the Rfam family "Bacterial small subunit ribosomal RNA", at positions 28 to 417 of the family's 1533-position model. The record is from RNAcentral.